UUUCAUGUGCGAAGCACGACUAGGUUAAUCCGAGUGGUUUGUGCUAAACAGACCUUUUGUUAGUCCUAGAAACACUNACGAAUAAGGGGUGGGCAAGUUCUGGUGUCAGCCGCCGCGGUAAAACCAGCACCUCAAGUGGUCANGAUGAUUAUUGGGCCUAAAGCAUCCGUAGCCGGCUCUGUAAGUUUUCGGUUAAAUCUGUAUGCUCAACAUNCNGGCUGCCGGGAAUACUGCNGAGCUAGGGAGUGGGAGAGGUAGACGGUACUCNNUAGGAAGGGGUAAAAUCCUUUGAUCUAUUGAUGACCACCUGUGGCGAAGGCGGUCUACCAGAACACGUCCGACGGUGAGGGAUGAAAGCUGGGGGAGCAAACCGGAUUAGAUACCCGGGUAGUCCCAGCUGUAAACUAUGCAAACUCAGUGAUGCAUUGGCUUGUGGCCAAUGCAGUGCUGCAGGNAAGCCGUUAAGUUUGCCGCCUGGGAAGUACGUACGCAAGUAUGAAACUUAAAGGAAUUGGCGGGGGAGCACCACAAGGGGUGAAGCCUGCGGUUCAAUUGNUUUCCAACGCCCGGAAA
This 573-nucleotide ribosomal RNA is filed under the name uncultured crenarchaeote. RNAcentral describes it as "bacterial SSU rRNA". It matches the Rfam family "Archaeal small subunit ribosomal RNA", at positions 350 to 924 of the family's 1478-position model. Lineage: Archaea; Thermoproteati; Thermoproteota. The record is from RNAcentral.